GGAGGUAUAGCUCAGCAGCAGAGUAUUUGCCUAGAAGCUAAAGGACCUGGGUUUUAAUCCCAGCACUCCA
This 70-nucleotide transfer RNA is filed under the name Ictidomys tridecemlineatus (thirteen-lined ground squirrel). RNAcentral's name for it is "Spermophilus tridecemlineatus (thirteen-lined ground squirrel) tRNA". It matches the Rfam family "tRNA". Rfam says of the family: Transfer RNA (tRNA) molecules are approximately 80 nucleotides in length. Their secondary structure includes four short double-helical elements and three loops (D, anti-codon, and T loops). The record is from Rfam by way of RNAcentral. Lineage: Eukaryota; Metazoa; Chordata; Mammalia; Rodentia; Sciuridae.